CCAGGCCGAAGUACAUGAUUCCAUGCUUCCAAGAAAAGCAUCUAGAGAGAGAAGUAGUGCCCGUACCGCAAACCGACACAGGUAGAUGAGGAGAGAAUCCUAAGGCCGGCGGAAGAAUUGCAGUUAAGGAACUAGGCAAAUUGACCCCGUAAGUUCGCGAGAAGGGGUGCCUGCGAGAGCAGGCCGCAGAGAAUAGGCCCAAGCAACUGUUUAGCAAAAACACAGGUCUCUGCUAAAGCGUAAGCUGAUGUAUAAGGGCUGACGCCUGCCCGGUGCUGGAAGGUUAAGGGGAACACUUAGCGCAAGCGAAGGUGUGAACUUAAGCCCCAGUAAACGGCGGCCGUAACAAUAACGGUCCUAAGGUAGCGAAAUUCCUUGUCAGGUAAGUUCUGACCCGCACGAAUGGCGUAAUGACUUGGGCACUGUCUCAACUGCAAAUCCGGCGAAGUUGUAGUGCGAGUGAAGAUGCUCGCUACCCGCGAUUGGACGGAAAGACCCCGUAGAGCUUUACUGUAGCUUAGCAUUGAAUUCCGGUAUUGUCUGUACAGGAUAGGUGGGAGACUGGGAAACUAGGGCGUCAGCCUUAGUGGAGUCAACCUUGGGAUACCACCCUGACAGUAUUGGGGUUCUAACAGGACGCCAUGAAUCUGGUGACUGGACAUUGUUAGGUGGGCAGUUUGACUGGGGCGGUCGCCUCCUAAAAAGUAACGGAGGCGCCCAAAGGUUCCCUCAGAACGGUCGGAAAUCGUUCGUAGAGUGCAAAGGCAGAAGGGAGCCUGACUGCGAGACAUACAAGUCGAGCAGGGACGAAAGUCGGGCUUAGUGAUCCGGUGGUACCUCGUGGGAGGGCCAUCGCUCAACGGAUAAAAGCUACCUCGGGGAUAACAGGCUGAUCUCCCCCAAGAGUCCACAUCGAUGGGGAGGUUUGGCACCUCGAUGUCGGCUCGUCGCACCCUGGGGCUGUAGUAGGUCCCAAGGGUUGGGCUGUUCGCCCAUUAAAGCGGCACGCGAGCUGGGUUCAGAACGUCGUGAGACAGUUCGGUCCCUAUCCGUCGCGGGCGUAGGAAAUUUGAGAGGAGCUGUCCUUAGUACGAGAGGACCGGGAUGGACUGACCUCUGGUGCACCAGUUGUUCCGCCAGGAGCAUGGCUGGGUAGCUAAGUCGGGAAGGGAUAAACGCUGAAAGCAUCUAAGCGUGAAGCCUCCCUCAAGAUGAGAUUUCCCAUAGCAUAAGCUAGUAAGACCCCUUGAAGAACACAAGGUUGAUAGGUCAGAGGUGUAAGUGCGGUAACGUAUUUAGCUGACUGAUACUAAUAGGUCGAGGGCUUGACC
This 1331-nucleotide ribosomal RNA is filed under the name metagenome. Its description in RNAcentral is "bacterial LSU rRNA". It matches the Rfam family "Bacterial large subunit ribosomal RNA", at positions 1580 to 2925 of the family's 2925-position model. The record is from RNAcentral.